CGGGAAGUAGCGUAGUUUGGCUAGCGCGCGACGUUCGGGACGUCGAGGUCGUGGGUUCGAAUCCCACCUUCCCGACCA
This 78-nucleotide transfer RNA is filed under the name Candidatus Omnitrophota bacterium. Its description in RNAcentral is "Candidatus Omnitrophica bacterium tRNA-Pro". It matches the Rfam family "tRNA". Rfam says of the family: Transfer RNA (tRNA) molecules are approximately 80 nucleotides in length. Their secondary structure includes four short double-helical elements and three loops (D, anti-codon, and T loops). The record is from RNAcentral. Lineage: Bacteria; Pseudomonadati; Candidatus Omnitrophota.